AAAAAAACUAUCCCUGCCUUGUACUGUCAUAUGGCAGAGAACGUGGUCAGCUCCUUGCAAUUCUCGUUGCCCAUCAGGGUGCACGCCAAGGUGGACACCUGAAGCAGCUGUUAUAGCUGAGAACAUCUACAGAGGAGAUGGAGGUGGUUGUAGUGUCGACAGAGGAGGAGGACGAGGGAGAGCAGGCAGGACCUUCCCAAAACUGCUCCACCAGCAUCUUUUGUGGGGGAGAAUGUGGAGGCCGAAGAGGCUUCUACCUGUCAGAGGCCGCAAUCGCCCCCCCCCCCCCUAGCUCCUGAUGAGGAAGAAGAGGAGGAGGAGGAAGUUGUCCACUGCCCCCGCCAGGAGGUUCUCACUAAAUAAAAUAAAAAUUGAUCCAGCUGCAGUGGGACGACCAAGUCGCAAUGCUGGAAAUCAAAACCAGCAAAAAAAAUAAUUAUGUAGCAGCAAAGGAGGAUCCAACAGCAGCAGCGGCUUCUGGAGAAGAAGGUCAAUCAGCUGGAGGAGCAGCACGAAAAGGGGCUCCAGGAGU
Long non-coding RNA from Bufo bufo (common toad), 532 nucleotides. RefSeq lists it as uncharacterized. The record is from RefSeq and is a predicted model, not a curated record. The transcript is spliced from 3 exons. Lineage: Eukaryota; Metazoa; Chordata; Amphibia; Anura; Bufonidae.